AUUCUGCCUGCUUACCCAAUCAAUCCUUAUUCUGCAUUUCUUUCAGGAACACACAAACAGCUGCUAAAGAAGGCAUGGAGGUUAUCAUGCAGUGCUGUUCUCAAGGUCAGCCCACAAAUCUGAAACAAGACAAAUUACAUAGAGUUGGUGUAACAACAUUGCCAGUCACUACCUUAUUUUAGUGCAAAAAAGAUUUUAUAAAAUAUUCAUUCUGAAAUUCAAAACCCUACAGUGCUGAAUCAAACGUUUCUAAAACAACAUCUCCAGGUAGAUAUGCUUCCAAAAGUGUUGUGUUAUUAUUUUUUUUCUAG
RNAcentral lists this long non-coding RNA (311 nucleotides) under Anser brachyrhynchus (Pink-footed goose). RNAcentral's name for it is "lncRNA (ENSABRG00000020712.1)". Lineage: Eukaryota; Metazoa; Chordata; Aves; Anseriformes; Anatidae. The record is from RNAcentral.